Molecule: ribosomal RNA, 226 nt
Filed under: uncultured bacterium
Lineage: Bacteria
Description: partial 16S ribosomal RNA
Rfam family: Bacterial small subunit ribosomal RNA
Source: RNAcentral
AGUAACGCGUAAAGAACUUGCCUCACAGCUAGGGACAACAUUUGGAAACGAAUGCUAAUACCUAAUAUUAUGAUAAUAGGGCAUCCUAUAAUUAUGAAAGCUAUAAGCGCUGUGAGAGAGCUUUGCGUCCCAUUAGCUAGUUGGAGAGGUAACGGCUUACCAAGGCGAUGAUGGGUAGCCGGCCUGAGAGGGUGAUCGGCCACAAGGGGACUGAGACACGGCCCUU